ACGGGUGAGUAAUGUCUGGGGAUCUGCCCGAUAGAGGGGGAUAACCACUGGAAACGGUGGCUAAUACCGCAUAACGUCGCAAGACCAAAGAGGGGGACCUUCGGGCCUCUCACUAUCGGAUGAACCCAGAUGGGAUUAGCUAGUAGGCGGGGUAAUGGCCCACCUAGGCGACGAUCCCUAGCUGGUCUGAGAGGAUGACCAGCCACACUGGAACUGAGACACGGUCCAGACUCCUACGGGAGGCAGCAGUGGGGAAUAUUGCACAAUGGGCGCAAGCCUGAUGCAGCCAUGCCGCGUGUAUGAAGAAGGCCUUCGGGUUGUAAAGUACUUUCAGCGGGGAGGAAGGCGAUGCGGUUAAUAACCGCGUCGAUUGACGUUACCCGCAGAAGAAGCACCGGCUAACUCCGUGCCAGCAGCCGCGGUAAUACGGAGGGUGCAAGCGUUAAUCGGAAUUACUGGGCGUAAAGCGCACGCAGGCGGUCUGUUAAGUCAGAUGUGAAAUCCCCGGGCUUAACCUGGGAACUGCAUUUGAAAGUGGGCAGGCUUGAGUCUUGUAGAGGGGGGUAGAAUUCCAGGUGU
This 579-nucleotide ribosomal RNA is filed under the name uncultured Pantoea sp. RNAcentral's name for it is "bacterial SSU rRNA". It matches the Rfam family "Bacterial small subunit ribosomal RNA", at positions 102 to 676 of the family's 1533-position model. Lineage: Bacteria; Pseudomonadati; Pseudomonadota; Gammaproteobacteria; Enterobacterales; Erwiniaceae. The record is from RNAcentral.